This 425-nucleotide ribosomal RNA is filed under the name uncultured bacterium. Its description in RNAcentral is "bacterial SSU rRNA". It matches the Rfam family "Bacterial small subunit ribosomal RNA", at positions 356 to 773 of the family's 1533-position model. The record is from RNAcentral.
GAGGAAUAUUGCGCAAUGGGCGAAAGCCUGACGCAGCGACGCCGCGUGGAGGAUGACGGUCUUAGGAUUGUAAACUCCUGUUAAGUGGGAAGAAAGGCUCGCUUUUAAUAGAAGCGAGAGAUGACGGUACCAUUAGAGAAAGCACCGGCUAACUUCGUGCCAGCAGCCGCGGUAAUACGAGGGGUGCAAGCGUUAUUCGGAUUCAUUGGGCGUAAAGGGUGCGUAGACGACUUAUUAAGUCAACUGUUAAAUUCUCCGGCCUAACUGGAGAUCUGCGGUAGAAACUGAUAGGAUAGAGGGUGGAAGAGAGAAGUGGAAUUCUCGGAGUAGCGGUAAAAUGCGUAGAUCUCGAGAGGAACACCGAUGGCGAAGGCAGCUUCUUGGUCCAUACCUGACGUUGAGGCACGAAAGCGUGGGGAGCAAAC